GAUGAACGCUGGCGGCGUGCCUAAUACAUGCAAGUCGAGCGAACAGAUGAGGAGCUUGCUCCUCUGACGUUAGCGGCGGACGGGUGAGUAACACGUGGAUAACCUACCUAUAAGACUGGGAUAACUUCGGGGAACCGGAGCUAAUACCGGAUAAUAUAUUGAACCGCAUGGUUCAAUAGUGAAAGACGGUUUUGCUGUCCCUUAUAGAUGGAUCCGCGCCGCAUUAGCUAGUUGGUAAGGUAACGGCUUACCAAGGCAACGAUGCGUAGCCGACCUGAGAGGGUGAUCGGCCACACUGGAACUGAGACACGGUCCAGACUCCUACGGGAGGCAGCAGUAGGGAAUCUUCCGCAAAGGGCGAAAGCCUGACGGAGCAACGCCGCGUGAGUGAUGAAGGUCUUCGGAUCGUAAAACUCUGUUAUUAGGGAAGAACAAAUGUGUAACUAACUAUGCACGUCUUGACGGUACCUAAUCAGAAAGCCACGGCUAACUACGUG
RNAcentral lists this ribosomal RNA (497 nucleotides) under uncultured bacterium. RNAcentral's name for it is "partial 16S ribosomal RNA". It matches the Rfam family "Bacterial small subunit ribosomal RNA", at positions 28 to 507 of the family's 1533-position model. The record is from RNAcentral.